AACAAAAAAACAAAACAAAACAAAACAAAAUACAAUAAGUGUUAGUGAAGAUGUGGAGAAAUUGGAAUUCUCGUGCACUGGUGGAGGGAACGUACAAUGGUGUCACUGCUACGGAAGAUAGUAUAGUCAUUCCUGAGAAAAUUAAAUAGAAUUACUCCGUGAUCCAGCAAUCCCACCUCUGGGUUUGGGAUUCAAUACCCAAAGGUAUUGAAAGCACAAUCGCAAAGAGGUAUUUGUCCUCUCACGUUCAUAGCCGUGUUCUUCACAACAGCCGAAAGGUGGAAGCAACCCAAGUGUUCACCAGUGAAGAAUGGAUGAACCAAAUGUGGUCCAUACACACGGUGGACUAUUAGUCAGCCUUCAAAAGGAAGGAGAUUCUGACGCAUGCUACCACAUGGAUGAACCUGGGGACAUUGUGCUGAGUGAAUACACCAGUCACAAAAGAUUGCAUGUCAAGCCCAGGAUGAAAGAGGAACCCUCAGCCUGUCCUGUCUUCCCCAGCAAAAGCAAGUUCACGGUGACCGUGUGAUCCUCUUGGUGUGGAGAGGCUGCCACCCGGGUCUAAGCAGUGCAGCGUCCUCAGGGUGACAGCCGAGGCCCAGGGCUCCAGCACUCUCCUGGUGAGCUACAAACAGGGCCACGUCCACCUGCGUGCCAGGAUCACCAUCGGGGCCUACCUGCCCCUCAAGCUGAAAGCAGGAACUGAUGCAGCAGGAGCAGAGCCUCCCCCCCGGGGACAGUGGUUGCUGACAUCCGUGUGAUCACGUGAGGCAGCGCUUGGCAGGCUUGGCAGGGUGCUGACCUGCCAGGCUCUCCUGACGAAGGCAGGACUGUGGGCUCCAAAGGCUUCGAAGUGUUUGCGGCAGUGGUCAGAGCACAGGGGUGCUUCUGGCCCACUCCAGAGUUGCCCUGCAGAGUCCUUACAGGUCCCCAGCAUUGGGACAGUGGCCUUUGGUGUGUUCGAUUCCAGGCCCUCCUGAGACCUGCGUGCGGGGUGGAUUCCACCACUUGCCUGAUGUCUGUGAGUCCCUCUUCCCACCUGAGGACGGAGGCGGUCGAGGCGUGUGCAUGCGGAGCACACGGCCUCAGCCUCCACACCGGCUCCCGAGCCUGAGUCCAGGGCUGCUGCACAGCCGCUCUGUACUCUGCUCAUUGAACUUCUCUGGCCUCACCUUCCUGCCUGUGAAAUGGGGCUGGACAGCACCUGCCCCAUAGGGUUGUGCUGAGGGUGAGCUGAGCUAAUAAAUGGAAUGGGCUUAGAAAGCAGCCUGGGAGGGAGUCAGCGCUCAGCAAGGGUUAGUUAGUGAAACAGGACUAAAAGCAACCUGGCCUUCCUCCGAGGGUGGUUGUGAAGGCUUCACAGAAGGGCUACACGCAGUGGGCUGCUGAAUGCACUUGUCACUGUGUUUGAACCCCGCCUCGUCCACAAGAGGCCAGAGCAGGUUAGUUGGUGGGGAGUUCCUGCUCCUGGAGGAGCCCCCACCCUCCCAGGCUGGGCCAGGCAGCCCUCGCAUUUCCCUGCCAUGC
This is an RNA transcript of Lemur catta (Ring-tailed lemur), 1527 nucleotides long. It is a transcript of the gene named serine peptidase inhibitor Kazal type 9, with no coding region annotated. The transcript is spliced from 3 exons. The record is from RefSeq and is a predicted model, not a curated record. Lineage: Eukaryota; Metazoa; Chordata; Mammalia; Primates; Lemuridae.